UAAGGGAGGAAAUAUUGGUUCCACUGUAAAAUUAUUUGAGCAAUAUUUAAUGUUAGUAACUGAGGCAUUUCCAGCUUUUAUUUUCAAGAAUCUUAAAACUGGACUGAGGAAAGCUCUCAAGGCUGCAGAGAGUUGUACUAAGAAUGUUGUGAGGGAUAGAGUGGGUAAUUGUGGGACACCGAGAAUCAUACACUUUCCCUUAACUUCAUCCUUGUAACAGUUGCAUGCUAAGUUUGUGCUUAAGAGUUUUUAAACAUAAAGCUCAUCUAUUAGAAAAUGUUUAAAAGCUCUUAUCUGGCUGAAUUCUAACUUCCCUUUCAGCUUUAAAAUCCCAAUUUCUGCAUUUUUAUAAAACCUACCCUAAUAACUCAAAGUGAUAACUUACUUUUACAGUCAGAAUACUUAUUUUCUAUAUUAUUUUUGAUAGCUUAUUCUGACAAUUACAAUUUACAUUAUACUUUACAUAUAAUACCUGACAAAUUUUUAUUUGUAUUGUCUAUAGUGAUUGCCAAUUAAAAGCUAUAGAGUUUCAAAUGCUCUAAAAAUGUGGUAGAAGCCCUGUACCUACAUGUACAUAGUAGGGGGUCAGUACAUAUUCAUUCAGUUGGAUUGUGUGCCAUCUACCAAUGAUCCUUUUUACCUCUCUGACAGAGAUUUCAUUCAUCACAUUCAGAGUAUAUAGGAAGAAAAUCAUAAACAUUUGAGAGAUAUAUUUCCUACCCUAAAUGCCAUCACAUAAAAUUAGAAAGAUCUUCUCUUUAAAGAAAAGUCUUCUCUUUAGAUUCAUCUUCAUCUAAAUUACCUCUAUACCUCUAAUCUGACUUUUGUUUAUUCCUAAUAUAAAGGAAGUUGUAGGCAGGGAGUUGACUAUUACGACAUAAUAAAGUUUUUUUUUUCAUGUUGUAGAAUUAGGGCGUUAUUUUUCUUCAUGGCUCUGACUUAACUUCUAUUCAUGCUGCCGAUCAUUUGUUUCACAAUGAAAUUCAUCUCAAUGCGUUAUUGGGUUUCUACCUUUGUGCUGGUAGAUAGGUAAUGUCAGAGUAUCUGCAAGAGUCAAAUAAAGGAAGAGUUCAGUACACUAUGUAAGUAGCUUUCAUGUAGCACUUUAUUUUCUUUCAUUUCACUAUUUCAUUUUAUUUAUUUUAUUUUAUUGCUGAGUUGGUAUAAGCAAAGCUGUGUGUGGGUCAGAGGGAAGCACAAAAAUGCUACAAAGAGUUGAGGUAAUAAAUGAUAUCAUUUUUGGAAAAGAUGCCCAACCGGUAGCAGGAAAACCUCUUAUUCUCAAGUUCAAACUUUUAUUCAUUUGCAUAUUUGAGGAAUAUUUACAGAAUGCCUUCUAUAUAAUAACUUUGCUUGACACAGAGGAGAUAGAUCUUUGCAGGAUAAUUCCUGCCCUCCAGAAACAUUCAAGGAAAAAUAAAAUAAAAGAGAUAAAACUUUUCUUGAAGUAAUAUGUGUCUAGCACAGUUAUGGCACAAGGGAGAGGCUUAAUAAAAAUUAGCCAAAAUUACUUAGUAGCAAAAAUAAAUUUUGUUCAAUCCACACACUGAAAUCUAUAGAUGCACUUAAGCCUUCUUUCAAACUGUAAAUGCUCACAGAAUUCUCUGGUGUCUCAGAAGUUAAAGGGUCUGAUGUUGUCACUGCGUGGCUCUAGUUAGUGCUGUGGCAUGAAUUCAAUCCCUGGCCCAGGAAAUUUCACUUGUUGUGGGUGUGGCCAAAUAUGUAUACAUAUUUUCAAAGAUAGUGUGUAACUCAUUUCUUAGAUUUUCAGACGAUCAGAAGAGGCUAAUUAAAUAGAGGCUUACAUAGACAAGUAAGAAAUAUGGAAAAAUGAAAGACUGAUAGCAAUGUGUAUGACAAAAGUUAUAAAAGCCCACAUGCAAUAACAACAAACAGACAAAUAAAGAAAAAUAAAAACUAUAUUAUUCAGAAGCUUCUUAGUGUGGGGCAAACAGAACUGGCAUAGGAGCCUUCAGAAUAGACUAUAAGGGACAUACAGAUAGACAAGAGUCAAGUAGCAUUGAGCACUAGGCUUUCUUCAAAUUAUUAUGUGAUUUGCUUUUUGCAAAGACCCUUCUGAUGUAACUUGCACUAGUUAACAAAUGAGGAUUUGAAGGCUUCAAGUAGUCAAGAGGUAUAUUCAACAUGAAUCAGAAACUUGAAGUUCAAGAUGUUAAAUUAAUUUAAAUAUGUUUUCUUUUUCUUUUUUUUAUGACUAUAUUGUUCCCAGUCUAGGGCUUGAAAUGGAGCUGUAGCUGCAGGCCUACACCACAGCCACUGCAACACUGGAUCCAAGACACAUCUGUAACCAACAAAACAGCUUGUGGCAAUGCUGGAUCAUUAACCCACUGAUUGAGUCCGGAGAUCUAACUUGUAUCCUAACUGAGAUUAUAUCAGGUUCUUCAUCCGCUGAGCCACAAUGGGAACUCCUAAAUAUGUAAAUUUGACUGGAUCUUUGAGUUUCAGAGCUGCUUGGGGACAACACUGUUGAGGCAAUACAUAAUUAUAACUCUGUAAAUAGAAUUUAAAAAUCUCCUAAACUCUAAUCUUAUUAGAGGUAAUAACCUUAAUUUAGAGAAAAAUUAAUAUAGCCUCAUUCAAAUAUGUAAAGAAGCCAAGAGUUUAUUCAAGAAUAGUAUGUCAAAUAUGCUAGUGACCUGAUCAGGAAAAGCUCAUUCUGCUAAUUUCAUCCCGAGAUCCUUAAGACUUGGCAGAAUUCCAGAUAAAAAUUCAACAUUCAGUCAGCAUGAUUUAGAAAUUGUUGAUAACUUUACAUUCUGGUUAUCAUUUGUUUAUUUUGUUGCUGCUCCACCCAGUUGCUUAAAGUAAUGAAAAGGGAUCAUAGAAUUUUCUUUCCCUCUUUUUUCUUUAUUCUCUUCAUCAACUACUCCUACUCUUUUCUUCUCAGACAGAUAAUUAUUACAAUCAUUUCCCCUGGUCCAGAGUGGUCAUAGACAAACACUUUCUCUUCCAGGGACUUUUCUGUGUCAGAACUUCCUUAUAUGGUGAAGUUGGUCAGGAAAUCCUCUUCAUAUCUCAUAUGCAUGGUAAAUAACCCUUGUAUAUUCUUUUUGUACUUAUUCCUUUAAAAGUUAACCCCCAAUAAGUUAGUGCCUAACAUCAUAAAAUGGUUUUUUAUAUAUUCUAGUUUUCUUUUUUUUUUUUUCUUUUUAGGGCCUCAGCUGUAUUUCCCAGGCUCGGGGUCAAAUUAGAGCUACAGCUGCUGGCCUACACCACAGCCACAUAAAUGCUGGAUCCUAACCACAUCUGCAGUCCACACCACAGCUUGCAGCAAUGCCAGAUCCUUAACCUACUGAGCAAGCCCAGGGAUUGAACCUGUAUCCCCAUGGAUAUUAUGUUAGGUUCUUAACCCAAUGAGCCACCACAGGACUUCCUAUACGCUAGUUUUUAAUUGCCCAGUUAUACUAGACAUUUAAAUGUAUCACAACUUUACUGUGUUUUGAUUUCCUUCAUUGUCAUCUACUUUACUUCUAAGUAUCUUGCAGUGCUAUAUGGACUAGCUUAUACUUCAUAUGUAUAUCCUAAAAGCCCCUAGAAGAAGUCAUAGACUCCCCCUGCAACAUCUUCUUCAUGUAGUUGUCUUUGCAGUUAAGAAUAUGGGGUAUGACAGUUAAAAUGACUUGUGCUAUUUAUAAGGAUAAGACCUUGGACAAUUUUCUCGAAAUUCCCCAUUUUAUAAAAGUCUUUUCUGAAAUGGGAACAAUAAUACUUAACUUACAGUUGACCGUAAGAUUACUUGGCAUAGGUUAUUUAGAGCAGAUACUGAGCUCUCAAUAAAAGAGUGAGCAUGAUUAAUUUUAUAAUUGUUUUUAUUAUCUAACAAGUAUCUAAAAUGAUAGAGGACUCAAAGAUUUGUUGAUGAUGAUAACAAAAGCUCAAGAGAAACUAAAAUUCUACUCCUUGUUCCUUACUGUACCAAUCAGUGGUAGAGCCCCAAUUCCCCAGAAAACUCUACACUUACUUUUGAGAUUUCUGUGAUUCAGUUGGCUAAGUAAGUAGUAAAUAAUGGUUCAUUUCAUGUUUCCUCAUUUCACAUUCCAGUCUCCUUCCUCUUUUACCCUCCCAACUGCUCAAUAUCCUCCUGAAAUUAAGGUGGCUGCCAAGGAACCCCAGAGAAGUAUGCCUUCCCAUAAUCAAUUGUCUAAAAAAAAAAAAAAAGAAGAAUAUGUUGGGCUUAUCAUUAAAAAACAUGCACAUGAUUUUCAGCUCCACCAUAAGCUAAAUCUGUAACUUUAGCUAAGACUGGUAGCCUCUCUCUGCUAGUGGUUACAUAACUGCAAAAUGGGAUGGAAAUUCCUGCCUUUCUCACAAGAAAUUUGUAAAGAUUGAAUAAAGUAAACGUUUUCUAUGUAUGUGAAUACACUUGACAUCUAUGGUGAUAUCUAAAUGUUAGUCAUUCUAUUCUAUAAUCUUCGUGGUCCAGAUCAUGUUUUUGUAAAUAUUCUUCUUUCAAAAUGCGUCACUUCUAUAUGCAUUUCUUCAGUCUCCAGUUUAAUUCUUUUUAAUCUGUCACAUAAUAAUAUAAAAAUGUUAUCAAUUUUAAUUGGUACUUGUUGAUAGAUAAUGCAACACACAUGGAAUAUUUGGAUUUUAUGGAAGGCUUCAAGAAACAAAAAUUUACUAUCAGGAGUGCAUCUAAAGAAAAUAAUAGUUUUCUCUCAGCUCAUAUUGGAGAAUUUUGAGAAAUAUAUUUGAACUUUGUUAUAAGACAAUUUAUUUUCAGCCUCCUAUAAACAAAGAUGACUCCCUACUGUAUAUAGAAUAGAACUUAAACCAUUCUACUUUGCAUUAAACUCUACAUCUCAUUAUCUAUCAACAAGGAAUAGAGGCAGAUUUGAUUUUAUAGUUAUCUAUUUUAUGAUAGAUGGAGUAAGAGGCAUGCUGAUGCUGCAAACUUGAAAUAGUUUGGAAGGGAGAGGUGGAAUUCAAGUCAUACUUAGAUGUAAAAAUUAAAAAGAAAAAAGUUAGCUAUUUGCUUCAUGUUAAUUGAACUGUGUCUAGAUAUAGCCUCCUUAUCCACUAGAGGUCAGAAUUACACAGCACACUCAAACAACAGUCAGUGGUGAGCCUGAAAGAAGGGACCAGAAAUCACCAUUUGGAAAUGGUUUUGAGCAUUGUGUGUAAAGAGUACACUGAGAGCAUUUGCCAUAUGCCUGCCAGGUCUAAUUAUAUGUUAAAAGGUAAGAACAUGCAAUUGGCACUUUGACUUGCUCAGCCUAUUUUUCCAGUCUUAUUUUUCUCUAUUCCCGCAGAAGAUACCACUUGGAACUAGAUUUAAAAGAGACUGUCUCCAACUCUGGAGGUCAUAUUGCUGACAGCCACCAAGGCAGGACAAUUUGACAUUGAAGAACUCAAAAUCUUCCCUGUGAAAUAGGAUUCACAGAGGCAAUAUGUAUUAUUAACCUGUGGAAAACCAUUGUAAAUACAUUUAACUUCCCGAAAGCAAAAUAAAACAGUGU
This 5480-nucleotide long non-coding RNA is filed under the name Sus scrofa (pig). Its description in RNAcentral is "lncRNA (ENSSSCG00000053609.1)". The record is from RNAcentral. Lineage: Eukaryota; Metazoa; Chordata; Mammalia; Artiodactyla; Suidae.